Molecule: ribosomal RNA, 301 nt
Filed under: uncultured bacterium
Lineage: Bacteria
Description: partial 16S ribosomal RNA
Rfam family: Bacterial small subunit ribosomal RNA
Source: RNAcentral
CAGCAGCCGCGGGAAUACGUAGGGUGCGAGCGUUAAUCGGAAUUGCUGGGCGUAAAGCGUGCGCAGGCGGUUUUGUAAGACAGGCGUGAAAUCCCCGGGCUCAACCUGGGAAUGGCGCUUGUGACUGCAAAGCUAGAGUGCGGCAGAGGGGGAUGGAAUUCCGCGUGUAGCAGUGAAAUGCGUAGAUAUGCGGAGGAACACCGAUGGCGAAGGCAAUCCCCUGGGCCUGCACUGACGCUCAUGCACGAAAGCGUGGGGAGCAAACAGGAUUAGAUACCCCUGUAGUCCCUGUCUCUUAUAA